Molecule: ribosomal RNA, 460 nt
Filed under: uncultured bacterium
Lineage: Bacteria
Description: bacterial SSU rRNA
Rfam family: Bacterial small subunit ribosomal RNA
Source: RNAcentral
AGUGAACGUUGGCGGCGUGGAUUAGGCAUGCAAGUCGAGCGAUCGUAGCAAUACGGGAGCGGCAAACGGGGGUAGGAAUACAUCGGAACGUACCUUUUGGUUGAGAAUAGCGUUGGGAAACUGACGGUAAUACUCAAUAAAGUCGAGAGACCAAAGGUUUACUGCCGGAAGAGCGGCCGAUGCGAUAUUAGGUAGUUGGUGGGGUAAUGGCCUACCAAGCCUGAGAUGUCUAGGGGGUGUGAGAGCAUGGCCCCCACCACUGGGACUGAGAUACUGCCCAGACACCUACGGGUGGCUGCAGUCGAGGAUCUUCGUCAAUGGGCGAAAGCCUGAACGAGCGACGCCGCGUGCGGGAUGAAGGCCCUUGGGUUGUAAACCGCUGUCAGGGGGGAUGAAACCGUAAGGUUGACAGAGCCCCAGAGGAAGCACGGGCUAAGUUCGUGCCAGCAGCCGCGGUAAU